Molecule: ribosomal RNA, 490 nt
Filed under: uncultured bacterium
Lineage: Bacteria
Description: partial 16S ribosomal RNA
Rfam family: Bacterial small subunit ribosomal RNA
Source: RNAcentral
AUUGAACGCUGGCGGCAGGCCUAACACAUGCAAGUCGAAUGGUAACAGGAAUCAGCUUGCUGUUUCGCUGACGAGUGGCGGACGGGUGAGUAAUGUCUGGGAAACUGCCUGAUGGAGGGGGAUAACUACUGGAAACGGUAGCUAAUACCGCAUAACGUCGCAAGACCAAAGAGGGGGACCUUCGGGCCUCUUGCCAUCAGAUGUGCCCAGAUGGGAUUAGCUAGUAGGUGGGGUAACGGCUCACCUAGGCGACGAUCCCUAGCUGGUCUGAGAGGAUGACCAGCCACACUGGAACUGAGACACGGUCCAGACUCCUACGGGAGGCAGCAGUGGGGAAUAUUGCACAAUGGGCGCAAGCCUGAUGCAGCCAUGCCGCGUGUAUGAAGAAGGCCUUCGGGUUGUAAAGUACUUUCAGCGGGGAGGAAGGGAGUAAAGUUAAUACCUUUGCCCAUUGACGUUACCCGCAGAAGAAGCACCGGCUAACUCCGUG